AGUGAACGCUGGCGGUAGGCCUAACACAUGCAAGUCGAACGGCAGCACAGGAGAGCUUGCUCUCUGGGUGGCGAGUGGCGGACGGGUGAGGAAUGCAUCGGAAUCUACUCUUUCGUGGGGGAUAACGUAGGGAAACUUACGCUAAUACCGCAUACGACCUACGGGUGAAAGCCGGGGACCUUCGGGCCUGGCGCGAAAGAAUGAGCCGAUGCCCGAUUAGCUAGUUGGCGGGGUAAGAGCCCACCAAGGCGACGAUCGGUAGCUGGUCUGAGAGGAUGAUCAGCCACACUGGAACUGAGACACGGUCCAGACUCCUACGGGAGGCAGCAGUGGGGAAUAUUGGACAAUGGGCGCAAGCCUGAUCCAGCCAUACCGCGUGGGUGAAGAAGGCCUUCGGGUUGUAAAGCCCUUUUGUUGGGAAAGAAAAGCAGUCGGUUAAUACCCGAUUGUUCUGACGGUACCCAAAGAAUAAGCACCGGCUAAUUC
This 486-nucleotide ribosomal RNA is filed under the name Xanthomonas sp. oral taxon 037. RNAcentral describes it as "bacterial SSU rRNA". It matches the Rfam family "Bacterial small subunit ribosomal RNA", at positions 29 to 503 of the family's 1533-position model. The record is from RNAcentral. Lineage: Bacteria; Pseudomonadati; Pseudomonadota; Gammaproteobacteria; Lysobacterales; Lysobacteraceae.